Sus scrofa (pig) is the source of this 1142-nucleotide long non-coding RNA. RefSeq lists it as uncharacterized. NCBI's taxonomy places the organism in Eukaryota, Metazoa, Chordata, Mammalia, Artiodactyla, Suidae. The record is from RefSeq and is a predicted model, not a curated record.
CUAUGGAAAAUUUCAAACAUCGCCUUGCUGCCUCCUCUUUCCUUGUUCCAAUGUGUCCGUCUUUGUGCUGGAGGGUCUGAAAGCGGAUCCCAGAUCAUGCUUUCAUUCAAAAACACUCGCGCACCGGCCAAACUUCUGGCAAGAGCAGCCCGAGGCCUCCAGGGGCCUCCAUCCACUCCCUCCGGGCCGGGGGGUCUUCCCAGCUCCACGUCAUCUCCAGAUGGUGUCUCAACCUCAUCCUUUAGAGCAGGGAUUCCAAUACCAGAAACAGGGCCAGGGACCCUCCCCUUCUGAGGCUCUGUGACUUGGGGUCAAUGUGGCGGAAGACCUUACGCACGGUGUGGGGGCUGGGUUGACACAAGGACGUCAUAGUCUAUGGAACGACUGUUACGGUUGAGCGUGACACGUGGGUAACGGUAAGUUAAGGCCCUUUCCCCUGUGCCCUGUCCUCCCCAGCCAAGGGCGUUUGAACUCUUGCUUCCAACACCCUGGGUGUCCUCCACCUGGCACCGGCCUCAACCACGUCAGGGGCGUCUAGUUCCAGCUGAGCCUGUUAGGACUGGAGAGGCACCCCCUGCCCCUUGGCAUGCACAAGUGACCCCAGGUGCCCUGCUGACUGCAAAACUCCACCCGCCGCUCGUGGCCCUGCCCCCAGUUUUAAGCGCAGAGGCCUCGAUGCGCCUGCGCACAACCUCACGCCUCCUGCCAAUCACGGCUCCCCACGCCCCCCACGCCCAGGGCCGCCUCCGCUUUAUUUCUUGGUCGGUAAAGACUCGGCGGGAAGAGUGGAGCCGAUGUGACGCCUGCGCUGGGCUUCGCUGCUUUGUGGGUUAACCUCCUGGUUGCUGCAAACCGGACGUCCUCGCAUGGUGGCUGUUGCACGACAGGCCAAGGGACCAGGGUCGUUUGGUAACAAGGGAGUAAGCGGAGCUCCAGAAACCAGUGUCAGGACUGCCUGGUACGAGCUGUGCAAGGAAGGGGUGAGGAGACCCGCGCCGCCGGCCAGGAGGAAUUCACGCCUCUCCCCUCGACGAGUGAGUGUGCUGCGCGGUGUGUGUGUGUGCUGAUAGACUGUGACUGUCCCCUAAGAGGAGACAGGCUCUCGGUACCUGGGCAGCCCCAGCCACAUGACCCACGACGGG